RNAcentral lists this ribosomal RNA (246 nucleotides) under Acinetobacter pseudolwoffii. RNAcentral describes it as "Acinetobacter sp. ANC 5044 partial 23S ribosomal RNA". It matches the Rfam family "Bacterial large subunit ribosomal RNA", at positions 1 to 240 of the family's 2925-position model. The record is from RNAcentral. Lineage: Bacteria; Pseudomonadati; Pseudomonadota; Gammaproteobacteria; Moraxellales; Moraxellaceae.
GUUGUAUAGUCAAGUAAUUAAGUGCAUGUGGUGGAUGCCUUGGCAGUCAGAGGCGAUGAAAGACGUGAUAGCCUGCGAAAAGCUCCGGGGAGGCGGCAAAUAUCCUGUGAUCCGGAGAUGUCUGAAUGGGGAAACCCACUUACCAUAAGGUAGGUAUUGCAUGAUGAAUACAUAGUCAUGCAAGGCGAACGAGGGGAAGUGAAACAUCUCAGUACCCUUAGGAAAAGAAAUCAAUUGAGAUUCCCU